UUUCCGUAGGUGAACCUGCGGAAGGAUCAUUAACGAGUUAGGGUCUUUUAGGCCCGACCUCCCAACCCUAUGUUUAUUGAACCUCUGUUGCUUCGGCGGACCCGUCCCACGGCCGCCGGAGGACCGCUGCGAGGCGUCCUCUGGCCAGCGUCCGCCGAUGGCCAACCCACUAAACUCUGAAUGAAUCGUGUCAUAUGUCUAAGUCUAUGAUUAAAUUAAAGCAAAACUUUCAACAACGGAUCUCUUGGUUCUG
RNAcentral lists this unclassified non-coding RNA (253 nucleotides) under plant metagenome. RNAcentral describes it as "partial contains small subunit ribosomal RNA, internal transcribed spacer 1, and 5.8S ribosomal RNA". The record is from RNAcentral.